AAAUCAGAGUGUUUUAUGGCACUCUUUAACAAAAAUCCAUACCCACCUUGUGUGCAACGUAAAGAGAGUGAAGAGAGAGAGGUUUGCAAAAGCCUUAAACUCUUACCUCCCUUCAACAUAUACAUUUCUACUCGUCCUAUUGUCUGAACCUGUUAGAGAAUACUAAUUCUUAAACA
Molecule: unclassified non-coding RNA, 176 nt
Filed under: uncultured fungus
Lineage: Eukaryota; Fungi
Description: sequence contains ITS1, 5.8S rRNA gene
Source: RNAcentral